UAGCGAUUUCAAAUCAUAACAUAUGGAAUAAUAACAAGAAAAACAUCAAAUAAUUCAUAAUUGUACCUGGUUUUGCUUCCGGAAUAGAGUGUAAAAUCCCAAAAAAGACGCAACCAAAUGGAAAACCCUUGGAUUAAAAGAGAAUCAGUAGUUUGGCGAGAGAGAGAGAGAGAGAUGUAAAACCUGUCGGGUAGAGGAAGAAAGGUUUCGUUUUUUUUUCCACAAUAGAAGAAAUAAAUUCGAAAGAGACAAAGGAUGAAGGUAAAUCUUCUGAAAAUCUGCGGAUUUCCACGUGGCGCUAUAGAUACCGUAGAUUUGAAAAGUAGGCGAUGUAGACGUAGCCAGAUGGAAGAUAAACGGAGGAAAGAAAAUAAAUGCAGAGUAGGAGAGCAACCGGCUUGGUACCGGAAUAGAAG
RNAcentral lists this long non-coding RNA (416 nucleotides) under Carica papaya (papaya). Its description in RNAcentral is "long non-coding RNA (CPAP_LNC013607)". Lineage: Eukaryota; Viridiplantae; Streptophyta; Magnoliopsida; Brassicales; Caricaceae. The record is from RNAcentral.